GUGCCAGCAGCCGCGGUAAUACAUGGGGUGCAAGCGUUGUCCGGAUUUAUUGGGCGUAAAGGGCUCGUAGGUGGAUUAGUAAGUCAAAAUUGAAAUCCAAUGGCUUAACCAUUGUCACGGUUUUGAUACUGUUAAUCUUGAGUUAGAUAGAGGUAAGUGGAAUUCCUGGUGUAGCGGUGAGAUGCGUAGAUAUCAGGAGGAACGCCAAAGGAGAAGUCAGCUUACUGGAUCUAUACUGACACUGAGGAGCGAAAGCGUGGGUAGCAAACAGGAUUAGAGACCCUGGUAGUCCACGCCGUAAACGAUGAGUACUAGAUGGUGGGUGAUUCGACCCUCUCACUGUUACAGCUAACGCAUUAAGUACUCCGCCUGGGAAGUACGUUUGCAAGAAUGAAACUCAAAGAAAUUGGCGG
This 413-nucleotide ribosomal RNA is filed under the name uncultured bacterium. RNAcentral describes it as "bacterial SSU rRNA". It matches the Rfam family "Bacterial small subunit ribosomal RNA", at positions 505 to 916 of the family's 1533-position model. The record is from RNAcentral.